This 523-nucleotide ribosomal RNA is filed under the name uncultured microorganism. Its description in RNAcentral is "bacterial SSU rRNA". It matches the Rfam family "Bacterial small subunit ribosomal RNA", at positions 9 to 521 of the family's 1533-position model. The record is from RNAcentral.
GAGUUUGAUCGUGGCUCAGAUUGAACGCUGGCGGCAGGCCUAACACAUGCAAGUCGAGCGGAUGAAGGGAGCUUGCUCCUGGAUUCAGCGGCGGACGGGUGAGUAAUGCCUAGGAAUCUGCCUGGGUAGUGGGGGAUAACGUCCGGAAACGGGCGCUAAUACCGCAUACGUCCUGAGGGAGAAAGUGGGGGAUCUUCGGACCUCACGGCUAUCAGAUGAGCCUAGGUCGGAUUAGCUAGUUGGUGGGGUAAAGGCCUACCAAGGCGACGAGUCCGUAACUGGUCUGAGAGGAUGAUCAGUCACACUGGAACUGAGACACGGUCCAGACUCCUACGGGAGGCAGCAGUGGGGAAUAUUGGACAAUGGGCGAAAGGCCUGAUCCAGCCAUGCCGCGUGUGUGAAGAAGGUCUUCGGAUUGUAAAGCACUUUAAGUUGGGUAGGAAGGGCAGUAAGUUAAUACCUUAGCUGUUUUGACGUUUACCAACAGAAUAAGCACCGGCUAACUCGUGCCAGCCGCCGCAGU